Molecule: long non-coding RNA, 1611 nt
Organism: Haplochromis burtoni (Burton's mouthbrooder)
Lineage: Eukaryota; Metazoa; Chordata; Actinopteri; Cichliformes; Cichlidae
Exons: 2
Source: RefSeq, a predicted model, not a curated record
UCGGGCAAUGAUACUCAGCACUCCUGUUAUUUACCACAGACGAUUGUGGUCCAUGCUCUCACUUUCUCACUGUUGACAACACUGUUACUCUUAUCGCUGUUAUCUUAAAUAUAUUCAGCAGUGCUGUGUCUUUAUCACCAAGUGGAACACAAAGCUCUGAAGUAGCUGCAACAGUGAGCUUAGAUUGAGCCCCACUCAGCACCAUAAUUUUAAAAUGUAGCACUAGCAGUGAGUCAGACUUUGUCAUCAGGCCCCACUGAUGUUUGUAGUCCAGAGCAAUAAUUGGAUUUUUUCGCACACUUCUGUUCAGGCUCCAGACGUAUUUCCUUCCUGGACGCUUCUGGCAGCUGCUGCUUAUCCUGCCCCGAUUACAACAUAAUUAUCUGUUCCAUGUCGUCACCCUCCACUUUUCUUUUCUUUUCAAAGAACUUUAUGGACCAACUUUCUCUUAGAAACAUACACACAACUGGGACAAAUCUAACUACCAUUUCUGAUUACUUACUUAUUAAUUAUCAUACUGUUACUUCUGUUAUUGAUUGCUUAUUCUUCUAGAAAAAUGUAAAACAACAGCACAUCUUAAACUUCCAAGUCAAUAAAGAUAAAUUUGCUUUGCUUUCUGCUUUUUUCCCCAAGCAGAAAAAACAAGUAUGUUCUUACAAAUGUAUAAACAUGAUGGAGUUUUGAUUAUAAUAUGGGCUAGUUUUGUUCACAAGUGUAGGUAAAAGAACUUCAACAAGCUGAACUUGGGGUUUUAAAGUGAGAACACUUUUCUGAAUUGUGUGUGGCUGCGAUCUACCAGCUACCAGAAGCAAAAUAAAUAUUUAUUCAGGAAUACAAAUGUUUUGACGUGACAUAAAUGUUGGCUGCACUCAUUCAGUGAGGAUUCGCUUCCUUCCUGAUUCCUGCUUCCUGAUUGUUGUUCCUUAGUUAAGUUUUCACUCUGAAAACCAUCAAACACUUUAGAUUCACACGUGUUUGUUUGUUUGUUGCAGGAGUUUUGCUCUGAAUCCUGACCUCCUCUUUGUGCUUCUGUGGCUUAUGGGGCCAUAAAUUGGUCACCAUGGCGACCAGCAGGAUUAUUGAAAGUCCCCCGUCUGACUUUCUGAGUGUUCACCAUCACUCUGCUCUGCAGCUGGUCUCCUUUUCCACAGUGCAGCGACACAGUGUUGAAGAGGUGAGUGUGUUAAAGGAAAUGUUAAUGUCAGGUUUAGUCUGUAUGCACUCAGAGGUCAUUUGCUGCUGCUGCUGCUGUAAUGAUGUAAACCCUGAUUGGUUGGAUAGUUUGAGUGACCACAUUUACUGAGGCAAAGUAGAACAGCUGCUGAUCCUGAGCUACUCUUACAAAUGAAAGAUCAGUGAAGAGCUUCCCUCACACAGCAUAUCCUCUAUUGGACCUGACUGAACAUCCAGAGCCUGAUGUUCACUACAGUCAUGGGCAGAAGAAGCACCGGUGUCAACAAUGAAUCACAAAGCUGGUUUUUUUGCAUAUUUACAUGGUGAUAAAAAGUCUGUAAAGUGGUGAUCUGUGUUGGGGUCCUUAAUGCUGACUGAAAAUAGUUUCUGACUUCUUAAUGAAAAGUACCUUAAAUACUCCUUUUUUUUUUUUUAAAU